This 1083-nucleotide long non-coding RNA is filed under the name Citrus maxima (pomelo). Its description in RNAcentral is "long non-coding RNA (CMAX_LNC004195)". Lineage: Eukaryota; Viridiplantae; Streptophyta; Magnoliopsida; Sapindales; Rutaceae. The record is from RNAcentral.
AAAACGGCAAAAAGUAACCACACUGCACUAGGCCACUAGGUGCAGCAGUCCAGCACGAAAACUAGAUCACAAAACAAUUUCACAAAGACAAAACUAAGCCCCAAACCCAAUCAGCUAACCCCAACCCAAAUUCAAACCCUAACAGGUGUCGAUCAUCCUCCACGCAUACCGCGUCUCGUUGUCUUAGCCCAUUACUUCGAUCCCCAAAUUUCCAAAUUCACAAAACAAAACAAACCCUGACAGCCGCAUCCUCUCUCGUACGGUUAUCCUUCUCGUUUUGGCAGCUCGUCUACGCCGCUCCACGUUAGCUUAACUUAUAGUUGCAGCCAACAGCUUCAGCUCUCUCUCUCUCUCUCUCUCCCUCUCUCAAAUUGCCGGCGCAACCAACGAUUUCGGCUCACAACUCUCUCUCUCUCUCAAAUCACCAUCGCAGCCCACGACUUCAGAUUGGCCACGACUUCAGCUCCUCGUCGCAACUCGCCGUCAACUCUUCAUGAUAAGUUAGCUCCUCACAGCCUGUGUAUAUACUCUAUAGUGUGCACGUGUGUACGUUUUAUGUAGAGAAACAAAGCAUUAGAAUUAGGUUGGUUAUAUGAUACAAUAUUAUAAUUCUUGCCCAAGAAUGACUAUGACGUAUAGCUGAUCGGCUAAUCCUAUUCUCAAUUGAAACUCCAAAUUCCACUUUCGACGAUUUUGUUGUAGACAUUCCCUUACUGCCACAAAUCAAAAAUAGCACAAACAGGAAUUUAGUUUGUUGGGGUUGUGUGUUAAUGAUUUGCAGCAAAGGAAUUGAAGAGCAAAGAGCAUGUGAUUGGGAGGAGAGCAGUAAAUUAUAAUUGAUCGGUAUCAACCCAAACCCGAUUUAUAAACCCAAACCGUUUUGUAAUCCAAACUGUAUUGCAACCUGAAAUUAACAACCCGAAAUUGAACCAAAUUAUGAAGCCAAGCCAACCGAAAUUGAACCCACUGAACUGAACUAAAACAAUUUUCUGACCCAUUUGGGUUGAAUUGUUAAACCCGGAUUGCAAACCAAAAACCUUAAUGCCCACCCCUUGUUCACUUAAUACGUUAUGAAUUGCUUUA